This 337-nucleotide ribosomal RNA is filed under the name Allenoconcha basispiralis. Its description in RNAcentral is "partial large subunit ribosomal RNA". It matches the Rfam family "Bacterial large subunit ribosomal RNA", at positions 1845 to 2541 of the family's 2925-position model. Lineage: Eukaryota; Metazoa; Mollusca; Gastropoda; Stylommatophora; Microcystidae. The record is from RNAcentral.
AUAUAAAAUGAAUUCUGCCCAAUGAUUAGUUUAAUGGCCGCAGUACUUUAACUGUGCUAAGGUAGCAUAAUAAUUUGGCUUUUAAUUAAGGUCUGGUAUGAAAGGAUUUUAUGGGUAAUAACUGUCUUUAUUUAACUUUUAAAAAUUUACUUAAAAGGUGAAAAUUCCUUUAGCUUUAAAAUAGACGAGAAGACCCUAGGAGUUUUUGUUUUGUUGGGGCGACAUUUUAGUAAAUAACCUAAAAAAAAAAUUUAACGGUUAUAUCAAUUAUAAAUAAACUACCCUAGGGAUAACAGCAUAAUAAUAUUUUUGUUUGUGACCUCGAUGUUGGACUAGG